UGGGUAAAUGUGUUAUGUUCUGACUGCUCCACUGACUGGCUGUCCCAACCCUGCUCCAGGCCUCUCUGUUCCUUGAGACACAACAAUAUUGAAAUUGGGCCAAUGAAUAACCCUACAGUAGCCUAUCAUUCACUUUGGGGAGCGGAAGCUGUUGUGAGCAACCCUAUGUGAGCCUCCUGUCCUCAGCUACAUCGAUGAGCUUGGCAGUGAAUUAUCUAGUCCCAUCCAAGCUUCCAGAAGACUGCAGCCCCAGCUGACAGCUUGACUGCAACCUCAUGAAUGUUUCUGAGCUAGGACCACCCAGUUGCUUCUGAAUUCCUCACCCUCAGAAACUAUGAUACAAUAAAUGCUGAUUAUUUUAAA
Molecule: long non-coding RNA, 363 nt
Filed under: Homo sapiens (human)
Lineage: Eukaryota; Metazoa; Chordata; Mammalia; Primates; Hominidae
Description: HSALNT0407798
Source: RNAcentral